GGGGCUAAUACCGAAUAAUCCAUUUUGUCACAUGGMAAAAKGCUGARAGGCGGUUUCGGCUGUCACUACUARAUGGGCCCGCGGUGCAUUAGCUAGUUGGUGGGGUAAUGGCCUACSAAGGSAACGAUGCAUAGCCGACCUGAGAGGGUGAUCGGCCACAUUGGGACKGAGACACGGCCCAAACUCCUACGGGAGGCAGCAGUAGGGAAUCUUCCACAAUGGACGAAAGUCUGAUGGAGCAACGCCGCGUGAGUGAUGAAGGUUUUCGGAUCGUAAAACUCUGUUGUAAGGGAAGAACAAGUACGUUAGUAACUGAACGUACCUUGACGGUACCUUAUUAGAAAGCCACGGCUAACUACGUGCCAGCAGCCGCGGUAAUACGUAGGUGGCAAGCGUUGUCCGGAUUUAUUGGGCGUAAAGCGCGCGCAGGUGGUUUCUUAAGUCUGAUGUGAAAGCCCACGGCUCAACCGUGGAGGGUCAUUGGAAACUGGGAGACUUGAGUGCAGAAGAGGAAAGUGGAAUUCCAAGUGUAGCGGUGAAAUGCGUAGAGAUUUGGAGGAACACCAGUGGCGAAGGCGACUUUCUGGUCUGUAACUGACACUGAGGCGCGAAAGCGUGGGGAGCAAACAGGAUUAGAUACCCUGGUAGUCCACGCCGUAAACGAUGAGUGCUAAGUGUUAGGGGGUUUCCGCCCCUUAGUGCUGCAGCUAACGCAUUAAGCACUCCGCCU
This 730-nucleotide ribosomal RNA is filed under the name Bacillus sp. 139-FB. RNAcentral's name for it is "bacterial SSU rRNA". It matches the Rfam family "Bacterial small subunit ribosomal RNA", at positions 159 to 874 of the family's 1533-position model. Lineage: Bacteria; Bacillati; Bacillota; Bacilli; Caryophanales; Bacillaceae. The record is from RNAcentral.